UUUAUGGAGAGUUUGAUCCUGGCUCAGGAUGAACGCUGGCGGCGUGCCUAAUACAUGCAAGUCGAGCGAACAGACGAGGAGCU
This 83-nucleotide ribosomal RNA is filed under the name Staphylococcus epidermidis. RNAcentral's name for it is "partial 16S ribosomal RNA". It matches the Rfam family "Bacterial small subunit ribosomal RNA", at positions 1 to 84 of the family's 1533-position model. Lineage: Bacteria; Bacillati; Bacillota; Bacilli; Caryophanales; Staphylococcaceae. The record is from RNAcentral. RNAcentral also lists the same sequence under 1 other name.